Molecule: ribosomal RNA, 505 nt
Filed under: uncultured bacterium
Lineage: Bacteria
Description: partial 16S ribosomal RNA
Rfam family: Bacterial small subunit ribosomal RNA
Source: RNAcentral
GACGAACGCUGGCGGCGUGCCUAAUACAUGCAAGUAGAACGCACAGUUUAUACCGUAGCUUGCUACACCAUAGACUGUGAGUUGCGAACGGGUGAGUAACGCGUAGGUAACCUGCCUGGUAGCGGGGGAUAACUAUUGGAAACGAUAGCUAAUACCGCAUAAUAUUAAUUAUUGCAUGAUAAUUAAUUGAAAGGUGCAAUUGCACCACUACCAGAUGGACCUGCGUUGUAUUAGCUAGUAGGUGAGGUAACGGCUCACCUAGGCGACGAUACAUAGCCGACCUGAGAGGGUGAUCGGCCACACUGGGACUGAGACACGGCCCAGACUCCUACGGGAGGCAGCAGUAGGGAAUCUUCGGCAAUGGGCGAAAGUCUGACCGAGCAACGCCGCGUGAGUGAAGAAGGUUUUCGGAUCGUAAAGCUCUGUUGUAAGAGAAGAACGGGUGUGAGGGUGGAAAGUUCACACUGUGACGGUAUCUUACCAGAAAGGGACGGCUAACUACGUG